CUGAGCCGCGCCGUGCCCACCCCAGAGGGGCAGCGGCGGCGCCGGGCGCCCCGGGGAGACACUGUCGGUCUGCAAAAUGAUGAUUCCACGGAUUUUCAUUUUCUGUAGGAAACGUGAAGAUUUUGAGCUGAAGUAAGACAUUGGCAGAAAUCUCUUGAGAAUUUUGCCUUUUUCUCUUCAAAGGAUUAUGUUUACAAAAAAUUGAAAAUAUCAAGUGACGCUUUUUUGAAAUAAUUUUAAAAAAACAAAGCAUAAAGCUGUAUUUAUGCUCAGAGAAAACUGGAUUAACAAUGAGGCCAAAGACUUUUCCUGCUACGACAUAUUCUGGAAACAGCAGACAAAGGUUACAAGAGAUUCGAGAAGGUUUAAAGCAGCCAUCCAAAUCUUCAGGUCAGGGACUGCCUAUUGGACCAGGCAGUGAAACUUCUCUGGACCCUAAGAUUUUAAUAGGGAAGGAUGCUGCAAGGCAACAGCAGAUGAGACAAACGCCCAAGUUUGGACCAUAUCAGAAAGCUCUGCGGGAAAUUAGAUAUUCUUUGCUGCCCUUUGCUAAUGAGUCGAGCACCACAGCAGCUGUUGAAGUGAACAGGCAGAUGCUCCAGGAGCUGGUGAAUGCAGGUUGUGAUCAGCAAACUUUCCUUUGAGCAAUGGUGCCUUUUCUGGGUGAAGAUUUCUAGACGUGGUUUGUUUGGGCAGCUGUUUUUAAGAAAAAAAAAUCGUGUUUUAAGAUUUUUUAUAGGCUAUGUACCUCCAGUAACAUGCUAUCCACUGUACAACUAUGGAUAUGUG
This is a long non-coding RNA of Lepidothrix coronata (blue-crowned manakin), 789 nucleotides long. RefSeq lists it as uncharacterized. The transcript has 3 exons. Lineage: Eukaryota; Metazoa; Chordata; Aves; Passeriformes; Pipridae. The record is from RefSeq and is a predicted model, not a curated record.